This is a long non-coding RNA of Apis dorsata (giant honeybee), 858 nucleotides long. RefSeq lists it as uncharacterized. The transcript has 2 exons. Lineage: Eukaryota; Metazoa; Arthropoda; Insecta; Hymenoptera; Apidae. The record is from RefSeq and is a predicted model, not a curated record.
UCCUAUAGUCAGGAAUCGGCAAAAACAAACUGAUCCCGCGUGGCAAAUUGUUAUCUUUCGGCAUUGUUCUUGAACGAGUCUUAAGACGUGAUUCUUCUAGAUUUUCGAGAUUCAUUAUGUCUAUCAAAGUUUCGUGCAAAUCAAAGGCUGUAGUUAAGCUCCGCGUAUUUCUUCGUAAAUUUGUCCAAGCCACUCGAUACUUUUCUCUCCACCAACGGGGCAAUACGAGAAACACGAAAGGAAGACUGUCCUCCAUUCUACCUUGAACGGGCGCCAACAGCAAUCGAUCUCCUCCGAAUUAUUGUAAAAAUGGUUGAUCGCGUCUGGAUUUACGUGCAAUGCAGUGUCGUUUGAAUCGACCAAUGGUAAAUGAUUUCCGUGCUCGCAGACAAGUGGUUUCUCCCUUUGAAUGUAUUGUACGAUCGCCGAGUCGAAAGGAUCCAUAUCUGGGAUUCGGCAACCUUUGUUGCGGACCAGGAAACCAGAGUUGGUUAUAGAAGCCAAGAAAGGUUUCAAUUCUACAUAAUUUUCUGAAAAUAAAGGAAAAAGGCAUUGAUCAAGUAUUUGACUGUUAUUCAAGUUUAUCGAUAUUUAAAAAUAAUUUUUUUUUUUAACUCGCUGUUAAGCGUUCGAAACAGAAUUUUCCAAUAUUUCUGUUCCAUCCAAUAAUUUGCAAAACACGAAAUGUUCGUUCAAAAUAUUUAAAUACAUAUGAACUUUUAUAGAGGAAUUAUUUUAUUUUUUCUUUUUUUUUUUUUUUUUUUUAAAUACCUUGUGAACUAUCAUUGACCCCAAUGGCUCCGUAUCGUAUCACUCGAAAUUGAUCCGUGUUGAAUGUAUUAAUCACAAUUAGCGAGA